This 2080-nucleotide long non-coding RNA is filed under the name Sorghum bicolor (sorghum). RNAcentral's name for it is "long non-coding RNA (SBIC_LNC001771)". The record is from RNAcentral. Lineage: Eukaryota; Viridiplantae; Streptophyta; Magnoliopsida; Poales; Poaceae.
AACAAACAAAGUGUGAAAUUAAAACGAAACUACAAUAACCCUCAGUCAGGUACAGCAAAACCAACUACCACAACAACCAUCAAUAACCCGACAAUAAAUUUUAACCUAACUAAGUACAUAAAAUAAAUGCAUGAAAGCCUAUAAAACCAGGCUCACCCUGCCCCCACCCUCAAUCAGGAUCAGUAUACAAAGACCCGAGCAUCGAGUGCAAACCUAGCAGUCAAAAAGCAAAAAUCCUAGGCCACCAUGGAAGCAGGAGUUAGCCUCACAACAGCAACAAAAGUUUGUAUCGCACGAAGCUUCGUAAUACGAGAACUGCGGUGUUGUGAUGAACAUCGACCACAAAGUCGUGUUCAGCCACAACAGAAACAAUGGAAGUCAGACUCAGAGGUCUCUGAAGGGUAUCGCACGAAGUCUCGUAACGUCCCUUCAGAACCUCCGACUCAGAUACCCGAAGGUUAUCCUCGACAACACUCCACGGGAGUCGAGCAAAGGAAAAAAUAGCACAAUUCAGCGGAGGCUCCUUCGCACCAAUAAAGUCGAAGGUUCUAAGGCCAAGAAGCGGCGAUCCUCCGCACAAGGAAAAAUCAACAACACCUUCGCAACAUCGAGCAUCAAGCACAAGCAGGCCACAGCAACACAAAGAUCCUUAGGAUCAACACCACCGUGACGUUGCAAUGUAUAAAUGCUGUAGCGCGAAGGUUGUAAUAAAAAUGAGAUCGAAGGUUGCAGCAAACUUAAAAACUUUAUUAUUGAUGAAGAAAUCAUUACAAAAGAAAAGUUACAAGGAAAGAAUAAAAUUAUCCUUCGACCCAUAAAAAGUCGAAGGUUAUAGGUAGCUUGUACAAAUCCAACAUACAAAUCCUCCGUCGACUAAACAACCGAAGGAUCUAUGAGUCACGUACAAAUCUCACGCACGAGUCACCAAAAACCCUAAAAUCACUACAAUAAUCCCGUGCGAGAUAAUCAACCAAAUCGUCAACAUUAAGCGAAGGACGCGCAGCUCUCCACCAGUCUAUCAACCAACCACUUGCAUACAAGUCGCCACGCUUGAACGUCAAUGGCGUCGCAUAGCUUCCUUCGACAAAACGCGGAGAAAGAACACAUCCAGGAGUGGAACGAACAACCUGCGCAGAAAAUCCAAGUCAAAAAACACUGAACCAAGCGAAGGACGCAAACUUGUCAAAAAACCAAAGUCUCGAACCUCCACACGCCCAGGCAGGUAACGCUCAUACACAUCAGGCCCCUCCAGCCAAAAAGAUUCCUCAAUCUCCUCUCCAAAUAUGCGAAGGAUAGGAUACUUCAACUGCAUAAACACAUCAAACCAAGUCAUAAAAAAAAAGAGAAAAACACAAAUAGCCUACGGCAAGAUAGAAACAAAACAAAAACCACCACCUAAGCCGGAGGCCAUAAACCUCGGCGCGCAAGCGACUGGAUAAAUCCAGAUCCUUCGCCAUCAAUAUCAUAUCCAACAAACUCGAACAUAUCCACCAAUCUCAUGUUAGGAAAGGCAACUCGCCAGUACUCCCACAAUUCGCCAGAAACAUAAAUCCCUUUGUAAAAAAUCGAAAGGGGAGUAAUGUAAUGAUCCUGCGCAGGUCCUCCGCCAGAGACCUGCGCAGGAUCAAAGUGUAAAACAAAGGCUUAUCUGAAAACAACUUAAUAUAUUACAUCCUCAACAGUCUGUACAAAAUAGGCAAAACCUCCGGCCUUAUUUACAAAAAGCGUCACAUGCUUGGACGCAAAAAAGACUAAGAAAAACCUAAAAACUAAAAAGCCUCACACCUGAGGCGGAGGAGGAGCAGAAGUCUCGGGCAGCUCUGAAACCUUGGCACCAGAUCCCUCCGGAGCUUUGGCACCAGCAUCACGAGCCUCCGCUCCAGCCUGGGUCGGAGGACGCGCCUCGCUUGGUGGACGCGAAGGACCGGCCUUGUCAACCUUAGCCUUCUUCUUCGCAAUCUCCUACAAAAUACCCAUCUUAAGUAACAUUGCAAAGCAGCAAAGCAAAAUACAAAAAGAAAAAACCAAAUCAAGAAUACCUCAGCGCGACGAGCCUCCGCCAUCUUCUUCGCCUCAGCCC